RNAcentral lists this ribosomal RNA (253 nucleotides) under uncultured bacterium. RNAcentral describes it as "partial 16S ribosomal RNA". It matches the Rfam family "Bacterial small subunit ribosomal RNA", at positions 524 to 776 of the family's 1533-position model. The record is from RNAcentral.
UACGGAGGAUCCGAGCGUUAUCCGGAUUUAUUGGGUUUAAAGGGUGCGUAGGCGGUUUGAUAAGUUAGAGGCGAAAUGUCGGGGCUCAACCCCGAAACUGCCUCUAAUACUGUUGGACUAGAGAAUAGUUGCGGUAGGCGGAAUGUAUGGUGUAGCGGUGAAAUGCUUAGAGAUCAUACAGAACACCGAUUGCGAAGGCAGCUUACCAAACUAUAUCUGACGUUGAGGCAUGAAAGCGUGGGAAGCAAACAGG